RNAcentral lists this ribosomal RNA (254 nucleotides) under uncultured bacterium. RNAcentral's name for it is "partial 16S ribosomal RNA". It matches the Rfam family "Bacterial small subunit ribosomal RNA", at positions 524 to 776 of the family's 1533-position model. The record is from RNAcentral.
UACGAAGGGGGCUAGCGUUGUUCGGAAUUACUGGGCGUAAAGCGCGCGCAGGCGGCUAUCCAAGUCAGUGGUGAAAGCCCGGAGCUCAACUCCGGAACUGCCAUUGAAACUGUUUAGCUUGAGGACGAGAGAGGUGAGUGGAAUUCCCAGUGUAGAGGUGAAAUUCGUAGAUAUUGGGAAGAACACCGGUGGCGAAGGCGGCUCUCGUGGGACGGUACUGACGCUGAGACGCGAAAGCGUGGGGAGCGAACAGG